Molecule: long non-coding RNA, 521 nt
Organism: Parasteatoda tepidariorum (common house spider)
Lineage: Eukaryota; Metazoa; Arthropoda; Arachnida; Araneae; Theridiidae
Source: RefSeq, a predicted model, not a curated record
AUGGGAGGAAAAAGUUAUAGCCUGUCACGUGAAUUUGCUGUAACAAUCUUACUGUUAAAAAUUGUGAAUUUCUUUAUAAUAGUAAGAUCAAGUGGUCUGUUCAGACUUUGUUAAAAACCUGCUCAUUUUCUGAAUCUGAAAUUGCCAUUGAAUCGGGUUCUUACUGCCAAGCUCUGUAUUUGUGAAAAUAAAGGAAGAAAAUGAAGUGUUUUGGAUUUCUUGUGUUGAUGGCUUGCCUUUUCGCUGUUCUGAAUGCCGACAGUUGCGGUGAACGCUAUGAACGAGCACAAGCAAUGCUCGAACAACAUGUUGCAGACGUUCCUGUUCCUAAUUGUAACGCAGAUGGUACAUACGCUCCACGGCAAUAUGGCAGUUUUGGAAAUUGUUACUGCGUUGAUCUAGAAGGAAACAGAGUGAACCAAAAGUGCCCAUGUGAAUAAAAUGCCUGUUUUAUUCCCUAUGUUCUGGAAAUUUAUAUAAAUUUUGCUCAAAAUAAACAAAGACGUACAUUUUUGCCUUAA